UCCUCGAUGGUCUAACGGUCAUGAUUUCCGCUUGUCAUCUCGCUAGAGAACAAGCGCGGGAGACCUGGGUUCGACUCCCAGUCGGGGAG
RNAcentral lists this transfer RNA (89 nucleotides) under Aspergillus coremiiformis. It matches the Rfam family "tRNA". Rfam says of the family: Transfer RNA (tRNA) molecules are approximately 80 nucleotides in length. Their secondary structure includes four short double-helical elements and three loops (D, anti-codon, and T loops). Lineage: Eukaryota; Fungi; Ascomycota; Eurotiomycetes; Eurotiales; Aspergillaceae. The record is from Rfam by way of RNAcentral.